GAUAAACGCUGGCGGCGCACAUAAGACAUGCAAGUCGAACGGACUUAACCUAUAGUUUACUAUUGGAGCGGUUAGUGGCGGACUGGUGAGUAACGCGUAAGCAAUCUGCCUAUCAGAGGGGAAUAACAGUGAGAAAUCACUGCUAAUACCGCAUAAGCUGUGAGUAUCGCAUGAUAGAGAUAUCAAAGGAGCAAUCCGCUGAGAGAUGGGGCUCGCGUCCGAUUAGAUAGUUGGUGAGGUAACGGCUCACCAAGUCGACGAUCGGUAGCCGGACUGAGAGGUUGAACGGCCACAUUGGGACUGAGACACGGCCCAG
This 316-nucleotide ribosomal RNA is filed under the name uncultured bacterium. Its description in RNAcentral is "bacterial SSU rRNA". It matches the Rfam family "Bacterial small subunit ribosomal RNA", at positions 28 to 334 of the family's 1533-position model. The record is from RNAcentral.